GUUUGGCAACACCAAAAAUCAAAGGCAAGCAAUCACAACUGACGUCCGACAGAUAAUCAGACAUAAAGAAACCAGCAGUGGAAGCCUUGACAAAGCAGAAAAGUAUGGAGAGGAAGGUUCAACAGAAUAAUAAUUUUGUUAUUUGAAAGCCAGAACACAAGACAAAUAGAUUCACAGCAACACAACCAUAUAUAUACAAGAUGCUAGCUCAAGAAUGUGUCCAGCUUACAAACCAGAAUACCAACUACAAGUUCAACUUCGAUGCAUCAUCUUGGGAGGAAGUGACAGACUUGGAAGAUCAUGCUGUUUUUGUUGGUGAUGGCAACUCCUGGUGCUGUCCUGCAAUCACCAUCCCUAGUAGAAGUAAUAGCAUCUACUUCACAGACGACAAUUGGGAUUGGCAAACGUACCCUGGAGAUGCAUAUGGAGGAUGUGAUGUGGGAGUGUUUGACAUGGCAACUAGAGUUAUUCAACCCCUUCCAUUCGGUGAGGACAACCCUUCUUCCUAUUCUCGACCAAUUUGGGUAACACCUACUUUGCAAUAUUAGCUUAUUUUCCAUUUUAUUUGCUGGGUUAGGCUUAGGUCUAGUGUCUAGGCACCGGACCGUUAAGAUGAUAACAUGUGUCCACUUUUGGACACAUGUUACCAUCUGACCGGGUCCAGUGUACUGUUCCUAAACCAAGUCUUUAUUAGCUUAUCUGUUUAUGUACUUUGAUUUCUCUAAUGUUGUUUGGCUUAAUUGAAGAGGUUUUGACUUCUUUGGUGACCAAAUACAAUUUGGCAUUUUGGUUGUAAGCAGGACAAAAUAUUAAACUAAUUUCCAGAAUAUGUAAGGUUCUGUUGCUAUCAA
Quercus robur (English oak) is the source of this 851-nucleotide long non-coding RNA. RefSeq lists it as uncharacterized. The record is from RefSeq and is a predicted model, not a curated record. NCBI's taxonomy places the organism in Eukaryota, Viridiplantae, Streptophyta, Magnoliopsida, Fagales, Fagaceae. The transcript has 2 exons.